RNAcentral lists this unclassified non-coding RNA (204 nucleotides) under uncultured fungus. RNAcentral describes it as "sequence contains ITS1". The record is from RNAcentral. Lineage: Eukaryota; Fungi.
GUAUAGUAGUGCGUGUGCACAACAAUAAUUUCAUUACAUUCGAGUUGGUGUAAAAAUCCUCUGCCGGCCAAGGCUAGCAAGAGGCCAAAGGUGCACAGGGGUAUUGGAUGAAAAGCUGCCAACGUGCACUUGCCAGAGCUGGCCAGCACUGAAGACAACAAUUCGCAAUCAAUAAUGAUCCUUCCGCAGGUUCACCUACGGAAA